This 1535-nucleotide ribosomal RNA is filed under the name Shigella boydii. RNAcentral describes it as "partial 23S ribosomal RNA". It matches the Rfam family "Bacterial large subunit ribosomal RNA", at positions 87 to 1665 of the family's 2925-position model. The record is from RNAcentral. Lineage: Bacteria; Pseudomonadati; Pseudomonadota; Gammaproteobacteria; Enterobacterales; Enterobacteriaceae.
UGAUAUGAACCGUUAUAACCGGCGAUUUCCGAAUGGGGAAACCCAGUGUGAUUCGUCACACUAUCAUUAACUGAAUCCAUAGGUUAAUGAGGCGAACCGGGGGAACUGAAACAUCUAAGUACCCCGAGGAAAAGAAAUCAACCGAGAUUCCCCCAGUAGCGGCGAGCGAACGGGGAGCAGCCCAGAGCCUGAAUCAGUGUGUGUGUUAGUGGAAGCGUCUGGAAAGGCGCGCGAUACAGGGUGACAGCCCCGUACACAAAAAUGCACAUGCUGUGAGCUCGAUGAGUAGGGCGGGACACGUGGUAUCCUGUCUGAAUAUGGGGGGACCAUCCUCCAAGGCUAAAUACUCCUGACUGACCGAUAGUGAACCAGUACCGUGAGGGAAAGGCGAAAAGAACCCCGGCGAGGGGAGUGAAAAAGAACCUGAAACCGUGUACGUACAAGCAGUGGGAGCACGCUUAGGCGUGUGACUGCGUACCUUUUGUAUAAUGGGUCAGCGACUUAUAUUCUGUAGCAAGGUUAACCGAAUAGGGGAGCCGAAGGGAAACCGAGUCUUAACUGGGCGUUAAGUUGCAGGGUAUAGACCCGAAACCCGGUGAUCUAGCCAUGGGCAGGUUGAAGGUUGGGUAACACUAACUGGAGGACCGAACCGACUAAUGUUGAAAAAUUAGCGGAUGACUUGUGGCUGGGGGUGAAAGGCCAAUCAAACCGGGAGAUAGCUGGUUCUCCCCGAAAGCUAUUUAGGUAGCGCCUCGUGAAUUCAUCUCCGGGGGUAGAGCACUGUUUCGGCAAGGGGGUCAUCCCGACUUACCAACCCGAUGCAAACUGCGAAUACCGGAGAAUGUUAUCACGGGAGACACACGGCGGGUGCUAACGUCCGUCGUGAAGAGGGAAACAACCCAGACCGCCAGCUAAGGUCCCAAAGUCAUGGUUAAGUGGGAAACGAUGUGGGAAGGCCCAGACAGCCAGGAUGUUGGCUUAGAAGCAGCCAUCAUUUAAAGAAAGCGUAAUAGCUCACUGGUCGAGUCGGCCUGCGCGGAAGAUGUAACGGGGCUAAACCAUGCACCGAAGCUGCGGCAGCGACACUAUGUGUUGUUGGGUAGGGGAGCGUUCUGUAAGCCUGUGAAGGUGUACUGUGAGGUAUGCUGGAGGUAUCAGAAGUGCGAAUGCUGACAUAAGUAACGAUAAAGCGGGUGAAAAGCCCGCUCGCCGGAAGACCAAGGGUUCCUGUCCAACGUUAAUCGGGGCAGGGUGAGUCGACCCCUAAGGCGAGGCCGAAAGGCGUAGUCGAUGGGAAACAGGUUAAUAUUCCUGUACUUGGUGUUACUGCGAAGGGGGGACGGAGAAGGCUAUGUUGGCCGGGCGACGGUUGUCCCGGUUUAAGCGUGUAGGCUGGUUUUCCAGGCAAAUCCGGAAAAUCAAGGCUGAGGCGUGAUGACGAGGCACUACGGUGCUGAAGCAACAAAUGCCCUGCUUCCAGGAAAAGCCUCUAAGCAUCAGGUAACAUCAAAUCGUACCCCAAACCGACACAGGUG